AAAAAAGAUAAACCUAGGUUUCCAUGUCCAACUUUUGACUGUUCGUCUUAUUUGAAAAAAUUAUGAAAAAAAAUUAAAAAUAUAAGUCACGCAUAAAGUAUAAAUCAUGUUUUAUCAUUUUAACAAUAAUGAACAUACUAAUUAUAAAAAAAAUUCAUAUAAGACGGAGUCAAAUGUUGGACACGGAAACCCAUGGUUUGCCUUUUU
Molecule: non-coding RNA, 207 nt
Organism: Oryza barthii
Lineage: Eukaryota; Viridiplantae; Streptophyta; Magnoliopsida; Poales; Poaceae
Source: Rfam